AUGGCUCCAACAUUUUCCCCCAUAUAAUUUUCACAUUUUGGUUUCCCUCCUCCCAAAAAUUAUAAAAAGCGCUUUUCUUCAUUUAGUUUCCUUCUCCCUCUUCAUCUCAACCCUACCACCUCAACAUUUUUGAGCUCUCAAUACAAUCUCUUUCAUCAAUCAAAAACCAUAGCGCUGCCGCCACCACCACAGACAAGAACAAAUGAACAUUAACCUCUCUCACUACAAGAAAAAUUUCAUAUCCAAAUUUAUCUUUCCUGCUGAUUGAAAUCGAUUGUUCCAAUUAUAACGGCUUCAAAGCGCAUCGUGAAGGAGCUAAAUGAUUUUUAGAAGGACCCUUCAUUAUCAUGUAGUACAGCUCUGAUCCCGUUGUCGGAGUUUUGUGAGAAGAACAUGAUGUGAGGUGGACCUUGACGCUGAGGUUUUGGACAUUACUUGAUGCUGCUUCUAGACAAAAACAGCAGAUUGAAGAAGCAAAGCUUUUUCGUGCUCAAGGUCAAAAUGAGAUGGCUAUCAACCUUGGAAUGUACAUAUCACAAAAUUAUCAAAGUAAUGAAGAGGUUUCAGAUGUAUAUCGCUUGAUUGGGAAGUGGCUGGCAGAGAUCAGAUCUAGCAAGUUAUUGGACAAACUUAAUUCUGUUUAAUGUUUAAAUAAUGGAUGCUCCCUUGUGAUGCCUGACUCAUUUGAGUUCAUGUCUUCUAAUGUUUUUAUCUUAACUUGCAGCUCAAGAACAAUUUUGGAGAAGCAUUUGAAACCUGCAGUCUCUAUUGCUGAGGAUGUGAAAAGUACAGAUAAGAAGGCCAUGGAAAAGAAAUGUCAUACCCAUUUUCAUCUUGCACACUAUACUGAUGCUCUAUUUAGGAGUCAUGAAGAAAGACUUGAUUCUAAUGGUGGAAGGAUCAAAGAGCAAAAUGUAGCUAAGUUUAUAUCAACACUAGCUGGUUGAAAAAAUGAAAAACUAAUGGUCAUGGCACAUGCUACUUCAAUAGACACUACCCUACACUAGCUUUUGUUGCUGUUGUUAAUCAAAUUGGUGGUGAUGGCCAAGUCAUUUGUCCAAUUCAAUUUUAUUUUCAUAGUUAGAAAAUCUUCAAGAGCUAAAUGCCUAAUUCAGUUUCAUAGUUGGAUAAGCUCAAGUACUAUUUCUAGACCAAUAUGAAGGAGCAAUACUCUGCAACAUUUUGUCAAAGCGAAAGAAAUUGAAUAUGGGUGAUAUGCUUUGACAGUCGAUCAACAACCUUUGAAUCUUCAUGUCAAAACAGUUUGAAUGUUUUGAUUUCAUAUUGAUUAUGUAGUUUUAUUUCAACAACCUUUUGUUUUCAUAAGAUUUAAGAUUUGACA
RNA transcript from Medicago truncatula (barrel medic), 1342 nucleotides. It is a transcript of the gene named serine/threonine-protein kinase ATM, with no coding region annotated. Lineage: Eukaryota; Viridiplantae; Streptophyta; Magnoliopsida; Fabales; Fabaceae. The transcript has 4 exons. The record is from RefSeq and is a predicted model, not a curated record.